RNAcentral lists this ribosomal RNA (497 nucleotides) under uncultured bacterium. RNAcentral's name for it is "partial 16S ribosomal RNA". It matches the Rfam family "Bacterial small subunit ribosomal RNA", at positions 28 to 507 of the family's 1533-position model. The record is from RNAcentral.
GAUGAACGCUGGCGGCGUGCCUAAUACAUGCAAGUCGAGCGAACGGACGAGAAGCUUGCUUUUCUGAUGUUAGCGGCGGACGGGUGAGUAACACGUGGAUAACCUACCUAUAAGACUGGGAUAACUUCGGGAAACCGGAGCUAAUACCGGAUAAUAUUUUGAACCGCAUGGUUCAAAAGUGAAAGACGGUCUUGCUGUCACUUAUAGCUGGAUCCGCGCUGCAUUAGCUAGUUGGUAAGGUAAAGGCUUACCAAGGCAACGAUGCAUAGCCGACCUGAGAGGGUGAUCGGCCACACUGGAACUGGGACACGGUCCAGACUCCUACGGGAGGCCGCAGUAGGGAAUCUUCCGCAAUGGGCGAAAGCCUGACGGAGCAACGCCGCGUGAGUGAUGAAGGUCUUCGGAUCGUAAAACUCUGUUAUUAGGGAAGAACAUAUGUGUAAGUAACUGUGCACAUCUUGACGGUACCUAAUCAGAAAGCCACGGCUAACUACGUG